Molecule: long non-coding RNA, 619 nt
Organism: Osmerus eperlanus (European smelt)
Lineage: Eukaryota; Metazoa; Chordata; Actinopteri; Osmeriformes; Osmeridae
Exons: 4
Source: RefSeq, a predicted model, not a curated record
UCAGUAACGAGUAAUCUAUCGUGUUACUAUUUCCAAACCAGUAAUCAGUAAAGUUACUUGUCCAAGUCACUGUGCGUUACUAUUUUGUCAUUAAUAGUAAAAUAUAUAUUUGAUUUCUUCUUGCGUCUCUGGGAGUGAAGUCAUGUAGCCUAUGCGACAAUUAAGUCACGUUUUCAGCAUGAGGGUCACUCACCACUUUCCUCAAGCCCCUUUGCUCCGGUGCCAUCUCGAUUUGGUUAUAUGUGAAAAAUAAGAAAGACCAAUAAGAUUAAUAAACUAUUACAUGAACAAAUGCAACAAACCGCAACUAAAUCAAUGUUUUUUCUAAAAGUAAUGGUUCGCAAAUGAUCUCAGAUAUACUGUACUCGGGGCCUACGACUUGAGUCGUUUUUCCAAGUGCAUUCUUAGGUCAACAUUUCAAAAGAAACUCUUGUCUAUAAAUCAACAUUACACUUGUUUCAACUUAAAAUGUCAGGAGAUACAUUGUACAUUGUUGUUGUGUACAUUACUGUUAAAAAUGCACUUCUCUUAAAGUGAGUGUUGGCAAAACCGGGGUGUUGUCGGCAGCUGUUGAAUGUAACUAAUAAAGUAACUUGUAAUCUAAUUUAGUUACUUUUAA